CCUACGGGAGGCAGCAGUAAGGAAUAUUGGUCAAUGGAGGCAACUCUGAACCAGCCAUGCCGCGUGCAGGAUGAAGGCCCUAUGGAUCGUAAACUGCUUUUACACAAGAGAAAACCCCGGUACGUGUACCGGGUUGAUAGUAUUGUGAGAAUAAGCAUCGGCUAACUUCGUGCCAGCAGCCGCGGUAAGACGAAGGAUGCAAGCGUUAUCCGGAUUCAUUGGGUUUAAAGGGUGCGUAGGCGGACUUGUAAGUCAGUGGUGAAAUCUCUUUGCUUAACAAAGAAACUGCCAUUGAUACUGCAGGUCUAGAGUAUAGAUGACGUUGGCGGAAUAUGACAUGUAGUGGUGAAAUACUUAGAUAUGUCAUAGAACACCGAUUGCGAAGGCAGCUAACGAAACUAUAACUGACGCUGAGGCACGAAAGUGCGGGGAUCAAACAGGAUUAGAUACCCUGGUAGUCCGCACCGUAAACGAUGAUUACUCGUUGUUGGCAAUAUGACCGUCAGCGACCGACGACGAAGACGAGUAAGACAACUACCACCGUACGGGUACGGUACGGACCCGGCCGACCGGUACGGAACGUACGAAACGAAGUUAGUACGGACGUUAGAGACGUUCGCCGACGGACGACGACGAGGGAGGAGG
RNAcentral lists this ribosomal RNA (645 nucleotides) under uncultured bacterium. RNAcentral describes it as "bacterial SSU rRNA". The stretch from base 1 to 539 matches the Rfam family "Bacterial small subunit ribosomal RNA", at positions 338 to 873 of the family's 1533-position model. The record is from RNAcentral.